This 578-nucleotide ribosomal RNA is filed under the name uncultured bacterium. RNAcentral describes it as "partial 16S ribosomal RNA". It matches the Rfam family "Bacterial small subunit ribosomal RNA", at positions 355 to 925 of the family's 1533-position model. The record is from RNAcentral.
UGGGGAAUUUUGGACAAUGGGCGCAAGCCUGAUCCAGCCAUGCCGCGUGCGGGAAGAAGGCCUUCGGGUUGUAAACCGCUUUUGUCAGGGAAGAAAUCUUCUGAGUUAAUACCUCGGGAGGAUGACGGUACCUGAAGAAUAAGCACCGGCUAACUACGUGCCAGCAGCCGCGGUAAUACGUAGGGUGCAAGCGUUAAUCGGAAUUACUGGGCGUAAAGCGUGCGCAGGCGGUUUUGUAAGACAGAGGUGAAAUCCCCGGGCUCAACCUGGGAACUGCCUUUGUGACUGCAAGGCUUGAGUGCGGCAGAGGGGGGAUGGAAUUCCGCGUGUAGCAGUGAAAUGCGUAGAUAUGCGGAGGAACACCGAUGGCGAAGGCAAUCCCCUGGGCCUGCACUGACGCUCAUGCACGAAAGCGUGGGGAGCAAACAGGACUAGAUACCCUGGUAGUCCACGCCCUAAACGAUGUCAACUGGUUGUUGGGAAGGUUCCUUCUCAGUAACGUAGCUAACGCGUGAAGUUGACCGCCUGGGGAGUACGGCCGCAAGGUUGAAACUUAAAGGAAUUGACGGGGUCAUAGC